This 449-nucleotide ribosomal RNA is filed under the name uncultured bacterium. RNAcentral's name for it is "partial 16S ribosomal RNA". It matches the Rfam family "Bacterial small subunit ribosomal RNA", at positions 29 to 523 of the family's 1533-position model. The record is from RNAcentral.
AACGAACGCUGGCGGCAGGCCUAAAACAUGCAAGUCGAACGCUGUAGCAAUACAGAGUGGCGCACGGGUGAGUAACACGUGGGAAUGUGCCUUUUGGUACGGAACAACUUUUGGAAACGAAAGCUAAUACCGUAUGGUCCCUUCGGGGUAAAGAUCUAUCGCCAAAAGAGCAGCCCGCGUCUGAUUAGCUAGUUGGUGAGGUAAUGGCUCACCAAGGCGACGAUCAGUAGCUGGUCUGAGAGGACGAUCAGCCACACUGGGACUGCGACACGGCCCAGACUCCUACGGGAGGCAGCAGUUAGGAAUAUUGGACAAUGGGCGCAAGCCUGAUCCAGCCAUGCCGCGUGAGUGAUGAAGGCCUUCGGGUUGUAAAGCUCUUUAGCCGAUGAAUAUAAUGACUGUAGUCGGAAAAUAAGCCCCGGCUAACUUCGUGCCAGCAGCCGCCGUAA